Canis lupus familiaris (dog) is the source of this 300-nucleotide long non-coding RNA. RefSeq lists it as uncharacterized. NCBI's taxonomy places the organism in Eukaryota, Metazoa, Chordata, Mammalia, Carnivora, Canidae. The record is from RefSeq and is a predicted model, not a curated record. The transcript has 3 exons.
AUCUUGUUUAAACUUUGUACCAUCUUCAGUGAAUACCUGUGUCCAUUCUUUUCCAGAUUUUGCUGUUACCAUUCAAGAUACCAUUCCAUGAAUAAUACAUGGAAGACCUCAGGACACGGUUUCAAGCUUUAACUCUGUGCUGGGCAGACAAGCAGGGAAGACAUUGAGCAGAAGAAACAAUAUAUCCCAAGGAUUGAAACCCUACCAUGUGUAUUCAGCCAGCACUAAGGGUUGGACUUCUUUUGGAGGAAGAGAGAGAGGGGAAGGAAAGGAAGAGGAGAAGGAGAAGAGAAAUAGAGG